GGAAUUUCCCCCUACAACCUCCCGGCAGGGUUUUGAAAUCCGUUUCCCCCCCAGGGGGGGGAACACCCUCUCAGGCCGCGUACCCGUUGUGACCCUUGUGAGCAGUUACCUCUCCCAAAAGCUGGGGGGAGGGGAGCGCCUCCCGUAGCGGGUUUCCGCCCCGUUCUCCCACAGAGGGACCGGAAAAGGUAUAUUAAGGAUUUAGCCCAAAUUGUCCGGAGUUUCCCCGUUGACAAAGGGGGAGCGGCUCCGCGGGAUGCGCCCCAUCAGCCGUAUUCCCUCACAACAAGGAUCCCCAUCACCGGCACGUCGAGCCUUGGUAAGUAUGGCCGCCCCGCUGCGAAUUCCCACACCCGGUGCACAGAUUCUCCGGGCCCCCGUCAAAAAGUUUGAGUUUCAGCCUUGCCGCCGUACUCCCCUGGCGGGGUGCCUAUAAGGUGUCUUUCGGCACGGCAAGUUUCGGCUCCACACACCUAGCCCCCAUCGAUUACAGCGUGGACUACCGGGGAAUAUAAUCCUGUUUGCUCCCCACGCUCUCGCGCCUCAGAGUCAGGGUCAGUCCAGGGAGUAGCUUUAGCCACUGGUAUUCCUCCCGAUAUAUACGCAUUUCACCGCUACACCGGGAAUUCCACUCCCCUCUCCUGCCCUCUAGCCUAGCAGUUUCAGGUGCACCUCCACGGUUGAGCCGUGGUCUUUUACACCUGACUUGCUAGACCGCCUACGCGCCCUUUACGCCCAGUAACUCCGGACAACGCUCGCCCCCUACGUCUUACCGCGGCUGCUGGCACGUAGUAGCCGGGGCUUUCGUGUGGUACCGUCAUCCCUUCUUCCCACACUAUCGAGCUUUACGACCCGAAGGCCUUCUUCGCUCACGCGGCGUCGCUCCGUCAGGCUUUCGCCCAUUGCGGAAGAUUCCCCACUGCUGCCUCCCGUAGGAGUCUGGGCCGUGUCUCAGUCCCAGUGUGGCCGACCACCCUCUCAGGCCGGCUACCCGUCGUAGCCUUGGUGAGCCGUUACCUCACCAACUAGCUGAUGGGACGCGAGCCCAUCCUUGAGCGGCUUCCCGCCCUUUCCUCCAUCAGGAUGCCCUAAUAGAGUAUAUCAGGUAUUAGCCCCGGUUUCCCAGGGUUAUCCCUGUCUCAAGGGUAGGUUGCUCACGCGUUACUCACCCGUCCGCCGCUAAACCUGCCAAAACAUAACGCCUUGACAGGCCCGCUCGACUUGCAUGUGUUAGGCACGCCGCCAGCGUUCGUCCUGAGCCAGGAUCAAACUCU
RNAcentral lists this ribosomal RNA (1274 nucleotides) under Caldanaerobacter subterraneus subsp. pacificus DSM 12653. RNAcentral describes it as "16S ribosomal RNA". The record is from RNAcentral. Lineage: Bacteria; Bacillati; Bacillota; Clostridia; Thermoanaerobacterales; Thermoanaerobacteraceae.